AUUGAACGCUGGCGGAAUGCUUUACACAUGCAAGUCGAACGGCAGCACGGGGGCAACCCUGGUGGCGAGUGGCGAACGGGUGAGUAAUACAUCGGAACGUGCCCGGUCGUGGGGGAUAACGUAGCGAAAGUUACGCUAAUACCGCAUACGAUCUGAGGAUGAAAGCGGGGGACCUUCGGGCCUCGCGCGAUCGGAGCGGCCGAUGUCAGAUUAGGUAGUUGGUGGGAUAAAGGCCUACCAAGCCGACGAUCUGUAGCUGGUCUGAGAGGACGACCAGCCACACUGGGACUGAGACACGGCCCAGACUCCUACGGGAGGCAGCAGUGGGGAAUUUUGGACAAUGGGCGCAAGCCUGAUCCAGCCAUUCCGCGUGCAGGACGAAGGCCUUCGGGUUGUAAACUGCUUUUGUAUGGAACGAAAAGGCUCUGGCUAAUACCUGGGGCUCAUGACGGUACCGGAAGAAUAAGCACCGGCUAACUACGUG
This 484-nucleotide ribosomal RNA is filed under the name uncultured bacterium. Its description in RNAcentral is "partial 16S ribosomal RNA". It matches the Rfam family "Bacterial small subunit ribosomal RNA", at positions 30 to 507 of the family's 1533-position model. The record is from RNAcentral.